Non-coding RNA from Malus domestica (apple), 439 nucleotides. NCBI's taxonomy places the organism in Eukaryota, Viridiplantae, Streptophyta, Magnoliopsida, Rosales, Rosaceae. The record is from RefSeq and is a predicted model, not a curated record.
AGCACACAACCACAUCCUUAACAUCUGUUUCCGACGGUUGUUAAUAAUAUGGGUGUUGUCGUAAGUUGAAUUUACGAAUUACAUUCACAAUUAGGAUCAUAAUCCAAACCUCUGUGUGAUACUAGUGCAAUUACCAAGUUUGCGUAGUUCUGUACUUUGCAGCUACAACGAAUGAGCUAGUCGACAAGUUCAACGCCGCAUAUGAUAGGCACAGUCGAAGAGGUGGACGGACUGCUUAUUUCUGAAAGUUUCUUUGACAACUUUUUGGGUGCUGCUGGUUUCAUUUGACUGCAUAGAGGCGUAGAAAUUGAAAUCUUAAUGAGACCUAGACCAUACGGAAUGAAAUAUAAAUUUCAGUCUCCCCAACUGUCAAUGCCCAUUAUUGUUCCGUUUUAGGUUGUAGUUUUUGAAAAGUAAUAUAUUAACCGUUUGAUAAUCA